GUGUUCAGUUGGACAACACACAUGCUUACAAUGGAAGGACACAGGGAAAUCUAGCAUGACCCCUGCGUGAGGAUGGCAGGAAAUUAGUGAAGUAUUCUAUAUUUUU
Otolemur garnettii (small-eared galago) is the source of this 106-nucleotide small nuclear RNA. The record is from Ensembl. Lineage: Eukaryota; Metazoa; Chordata; Mammalia; Primates; Galagidae.